UAAGGAAUAUUGGUCAAUGGACGCAAGUCUGAACCAGCCAUGCCGCGUGAAGGAUGAAGGUCCUCUGGAUUGUAAACUUCUUUUAUCUGGGACGAAAACGGGAUUUUUAUCUCAAUUGACGGUACCUGAGGAAUAAGCACCGGCUAACUCCGUGCCAGCAGCCGCGGUAAUACGGAGGGUGCGAGCGUUAUCCGGAUUUACUGGGUUUAAAGGGUGCGUAGGUGGGCUUAUAAGUCAGUGGUGAAAUCUCCGAGCUUAACUUGGAAACUGCCGUUGAUACUAUAGGUCUUGAAUUAUCUGGAGGUAAGCGGAAUAUGUCAUGUAGCGGUGAAAUGCUUAGAUAUGACAUAGAACACCAAUUGCGAAGGCAGCUUACUACAUAUAAAUUGACGCUGAGGCACGAAAGCGUGGGGAUCAAACA
This 421-nucleotide ribosomal RNA is filed under the name uncultured bacterium. RNAcentral describes it as "bacterial SSU rRNA". It matches the Rfam family "Bacterial small subunit ribosomal RNA", at positions 355 to 774 of the family's 1533-position model. The record is from RNAcentral.